ACGGAAGGCAGCAGGGAAUAUUGCACAAUGGGGGGAACCCUGAUGCAGCAACGCCACGUGUGGGAAGACGCAUUUCGGUGUGUAAACCACUGUCGUGAGGGAAUAAGGCUACUUUCCGGAGUAGUUGAAUGUACCUUGAAAGGAAGCACCGGCAAACUUCGUGCCAGCAGCCGCGGUAAUACGAGGGGCGCAAGCGUUGUUCGGAAUCACUGGGCGUAAAGGGAGCGCAGGCGGAGAUGCAAGCGGACUGUACAAUACCGGGGCCCAACCCCGGACCUGCAGUCCGGACUGCACCUCUUGGAUAGUUCAGGGGCAAGCGGAAUUCCUGGUGUAGCGGUGGAAUGCGUAGAGAUCAGGAAGAACACCGAUGGCGAAGGCAGCUUGCUGGGGACUAAUCGACGCUCAUGCUCGAAAGUGCGGGUAGCAAACAGGAUUAGAUACCCUGGUA
This 448-nucleotide ribosomal RNA is filed under the name uncultured Fibrobacter sp. RNAcentral's name for it is "partial 16S ribosomal RNA". It matches the Rfam family "Bacterial small subunit ribosomal RNA", at positions 341 to 792 of the family's 1533-position model. The record is from RNAcentral. Lineage: Bacteria; Pseudomonadati; Fibrobacterota; Fibrobacteria; Fibrobacterales; Fibrobacteraceae.